CUCCUCAAGAAUUAAUUUGAGGUAUAGCCUGCUCUAUGAAUUUAUUUAAAUGGCCGCGGUAUUCUGACCGUGCGAAGGUAGCAUAAUCAUUAGUCUUUUAAUUGAAGGCUGGUAUGAAUGGCUGGACGAGAAAAUUUCUGUCUCUGUUAUAAAUUUUGAAUUUGAUUUUUAAGUGAAAAAGCUUAAAUAUUUUUGGGGGACGAUAAGACCCUAUGGAUCUUUAUAAUGAUGAUUAAUAAAAAGUUUAGAAGUUACAGCUUUUUACUCUAAGUUAUUGGGUUGGGGCGACUGGAAGAAAAGAAUAUCUCUUCUUAAAAAUAAAUAUUAUUUAUAGAAUUAAAAAUGACCCUAAAUUUUGGUUUAGCAGAUCAAGUUACCCUAGGGAUAACAGCGUAAUCUUUUUGGAGAGUUCAUAUCGAUGAAAAGGUUUGCGACCUCGAUGUUGGAUUAAGAGAUCCUUGCGGCGCAGCAGUUGCGGAGGAAAGUCUGUUCCGACUUUUAAAUUCCUU
Molecule: ribosomal RNA, 509 nt
Filed under: Triops cancriformis
Lineage: Eukaryota; Metazoa; Arthropoda; Branchiopoda; Notostraca; Triopsidae
Description: partial 16S ribosomal RNA
Rfam family: Bacterial large subunit ribosomal RNA
Source: RNAcentral